This 253-nucleotide ribosomal RNA is filed under the name uncultured bacterium. Its description in RNAcentral is "partial 16S ribosomal RNA". It matches the Rfam family "Bacterial small subunit ribosomal RNA", at positions 524 to 776 of the family's 1533-position model. The record is from RNAcentral.
GACGAAGGUGGCGACCGUUGUUCGGAAUCACUGGGCAUAAAGAGCACGUAGGCGGCAAGGUAUGUCGGGUGUGAAAUCCCUCGGCCCAACCGAGGAAUUGCGCCCGAAACUACCUUGCUUGAGGAUGGAAGGGGAGCGUGGAAUUCCUGGUGGAGCGGUGAAAUGCGUUGAUAUCAGGAGGAACACCGGCGGCGAAGGCGACGCUCUGGUCCAUUACUGACGCUGAGGUGCGAAAGCCAGGGGAGCAAACGGG